CUGUAUGUGACAGUGUGUGUCUGUGUAUGUAUGUGCACAUGUCUAUGUAUGUAUGAGAUUUAUUGUUUAAUAUCGCAUCACUAAGUCUAGAGCCGCUGCUGCACAAAGGAAUACCUGCCUCCCCAACAGGGGCACUAGGGACCCUGGCCUCCUUUCCUCCUACUAGUGUUCAUGACAGCAAGGAGGAGUAUGUGUGUUUGUGUGUGUGUGAGAGAGAGAGAGAGAUUCAGUUUCCAUAUGACAGUGUGAAUGUGUGUGUAUUGUAUGUGACGGUCUAGGUAUGCAUGGGCCAGUGUGUGUG
Pelobates cultripes (western spadefoot toad) is the source of this 301-nucleotide non-coding RNA. Lineage: Eukaryota; Metazoa; Chordata; Amphibia; Anura; Pelobatidae. The record is from the annotation of a GenBank genome assembly.